AGCAGCCGCGGUAAUUCCAGCUCCAAUAGCGUAUAUUAAAGUUGUUGCAGUUAAAAAGCUCGUAGUUGAAUUUCGAGACCGGUUUAUUGGUCGUGCUUUUGUACGUACUGGUAUUAUUGGUUUCUCCUUUCUGACGAAUCUUAAUGCCAUUAAUUUGGUGUUUUGGGGAAUCAGGACUGUUACUUUGAAAAAAUUAGAGUGUUUAAAGCAGGCUCACGCUUGAAUACAUUAGCAUGGAAUAACGGAAUAGGACGUUUGAUUCUAUUUUGUUGGUUUCUAGGAUCGACGUAAUGAUUAAUAGGGAUAGUUGGGGGCAUUAGUAUUCAAUUGUCAGAGGUGAAAUUCUUGGAUUUAUUGAAGACUAACUACUGCGAAAGCAUUUGCCAAGGAUGUUUUCAUUAAUCAAGAACGAAAGUUAGGGGAUCGAAGACGAUCAGAUACCGUCGUAGUCUUAACCAUAAACUAUGCCGACUAGGGAUCGGAUGAUGUUAAUUUUUAAUGACUCAUUCGGCGCCUUACGG
RNAcentral lists this ribosomal RNA (521 nucleotides) under uncultured Glomus. RNAcentral describes it as "SSU rRNA". It matches the Rfam family "Eukaryotic small subunit ribosomal RNA", at positions 569 to 1093 of the family's 1831-position model. Lineage: Eukaryota; Fungi; Glomeromycota; Glomeromycetes; Glomerales; Glomeraceae. The record is from RNAcentral.